CCUACGGGAGGCAGCAGUAGGGAAUCUUCCACAAUGGACGAAAGUCUGAUGGAGCAACGCCGCGUGAGUGAAGAAGGUUCUCGGAUCGUAAAACUCUGUUGUGAGGGAAGAACAAGUACCGGAGUAACUGCCGGUACCUUGACGGUACCUCAUUAGAAAGCCACGGCUAACUACGUGCCAGCAGCCGCGGUAAUACGUAGGUGGCAAGCGUUGUCCGGAAUCAUUGGGCGUAAAGCGCGCGCAGGCGGUCCCUUAAGUCUGAUGUGAAAGCCCACGGCUCAACCGUGGAGGGUCAUUGGAAACUGGGGGACUUGAGUGCAGAAGAGGAAAGCGGAAUUCCAAGUGUAGCGGUGAAAUGCGUAGAGAUUUGGAGGAACACCAGUGGCGAAGGCGGCUUUCUGGUCUGUAACUGACGCUGAGGCGCGAAAGCGUGGGGAGCAAACAGGAUUAGAUACCCUGGUAGUCCACGCCGUAAACGAUGAGUGCUAAGUGUUAGGGGGUUUCCGCCCCUUAGUGCUGCAGCUAACGCAUUAAGCACUCCGCCUGGGGAGUACGGUCGCAAGACUGAAACUCAAAUGAAUUGACGG
This 587-nucleotide ribosomal RNA is filed under the name uncultured bacterium. Its description in RNAcentral is "bacterial SSU rRNA". It matches the Rfam family "Bacterial small subunit ribosomal RNA", at positions 338 to 916 of the family's 1533-position model. The record is from RNAcentral.